Sparus aurata (gilthead seabream) is the source of this 5861-nucleotide long non-coding RNA. NCBI's taxonomy places the organism in Eukaryota, Metazoa, Chordata, Actinopteri, Spariformes, Sparidae. The record is from Ensembl.
UUUUAUGGAGAGCAACUUCUGAAGACGCGAGAGGGAGAAAGAGAGAUUACAAUCUGUUUUGACGUGGAGUCCGCUUCUUCUUCACCAUUCCUCCCAGUGACACACACACACACACACACACACACACACACACAGAGAGAGAGAGAGAGAGAGAGAGAGAGAGAGAGAGAGAGAGAGAGAGAGAGUGGGAGUUUCGGGCCUCUUUCUGUUCUGUAAAACUUUAUAGCGAGCUGGGGCCCAGUUGUCAUGGUAACGGGUUAUACGAGCUUGACCGGGGGUGUUGAUGGGUGGAGGGAGGGGGGUCCACCAUUUGCAGUUUGAGUUGUGUGUGUCGGCAACUCUUCUUCUGUUUAUAAUUAUGUGAAAGUGGGGGAGAGAGAGAUCGUGUGUGUGUGUGUGUGUGUGUGUGUGUGUGUGAGAGAGAGAGAGAGGACAUGUGUCAAAGGGAGAGAUCAUUGGAAUGUCACUUUUGAAAGCAGAAUACUCCUCUCCAUAGCUUCUUGCACACACACUCUCUCUCUAUCGCACACACACACACACACACACACACACACACACACACACACACACACACACACACACACACAGCCCGGGCCAGUAAACCCCCCGCUCCUGGAGGUUGCUCACUGCCGUGCUUCCUGCGUCCGUUCCUGCGCCCGAUGAGCCCGGUCAGAGCUUCCCCGGACCGCGCGGUUGACUGUGCUUGGUUGUCGGCCCGAGCCCACCAGAGAAAGGCGCUCCUCUGUAGCGUGAACCUGACCCGACAGCGCCGCCUGGAGAUCCGCUGGAGCGUCUACCUGACUGACAGGUGAAGAAAUCUGGUUCCAGAAUCGAAGGGUGAGGGCAAGGAAGCAGCGUCACCUCAGCAUCUGGACUGAUAAAGAUGACCCUCCACCUCAGACUGCAUGACGCUGGCACCCGGGGAGGAUGAAGAAGACGAGGGUGCGAGAUACAUCUAACUGAACGUGCAAUGUUUGUACAUGCAGUUUUACAAAACUUUCACACGCUGGACGCACACACACACACACACACACACACACACACACACAAAACUCGAGUUCACUCCUGUGUGCGUUGUUGGAUUAUUAGCAGAUCAACACCAAACAAGUAAUCUGGACUCCUGCACUGAACUGAGGUGGCCUAUUAUCGGAAGGAUUCAAGUCUGGGCUGAUGAGCCGCACUUAAUCGUCCAGGAGGAGGAGACGACCUCAGAAGAAAGACUGGACGGGCUGGAUAUACUGGCAGGCAGCUCGGUCUCAUCCUCUCUGUCGUCAGCUGGUGAGUGUGUCUUUUUUCUGUGCGUAAUGACAGGAGGUUGUUGAGUAAAAGACCAUAGAUCGUUUACAGCGAGAUGGCUGAUGUUGAUUGGUAGUUAUCACUUUAUUUAUUAUUAAUGCCUGACGUUCUAAGGGAAACAAGUCAGUAGUCAGGAGUUGAGAAACACAUGAGCAGUCUAGGUUUGUUGCAUUAUUUGGAUUUAUCAUGUUUUAAGUAUUUGGUCACUGUUCAGUUUCUGCUUUUCUGUAUUUCCUAACAUGAACAUCAUUCAGAGCCUUCUUAAAAUUCUGAACCAUAAAUGCUGAGAUGUUCAGCUGAAUUGGGAUACAGUCAAAUGUUACCAGUAUGCUUCUUUACAUUACGUUUUUAAGGAAAUUAAUUACUAUUUGACAUUGACAUCUGACACCUUCAACUCAACAAACCUCCUUUAUUCCCUCUCUUGGGGUUUUAAGGUUUUUUUUAUUAUCCUGGUGUCUUUCUCAUAAUGACAUGUGGCUUCAUAAAAUCAAAUUGGCAGAGGGAAGAGGUGAUGCACCAACAGUCUUCUGAAAUAGCUGUGUAAACCUCUAAUUCAGAAAAAAAACAGACAGGUAAAAGAUAUAUUUGAUAAUUAAUUAAGAUGUAAGAAAUACAUAUAUCCAGAUCACUUUUUCUGUGACUGAAGAAAUGUCUGUCUACUCCAAAAGCCAUCAUGAGCCAAAGGGUAUAUUCUGCCUAUUUAGAUUCUGCCCUAUUUUGCUUUUUCUAUUUAAAAUUAUGAUUUGAUUUACAGUUGUAGUUCGAUUUAAAGAUAAUUUUAAAUAUUCGUUGGAAUGUAUCUCAAUUUUGGCUCAUUUUCUGUCAGCCCAAAAGGCAGAAUAUACCCAUUGCCACCUGACAUACAGUUGAGUGGACAUAUGUAUUAUGUAGAAGAUCAUCUUUAGGCUUUUACAUGUUUUAAGUAAACACAUUUAUGACCCGUUUAAUGUGUUUAGAAGAAAAUGGCUGAUUUUGGUUUACACGGACUUUAAUAGUAUUUCCAAAAUCUGAUUUAGUUGAAAAAAUAUAUUUUUAUGACCCUGUCUAUUUCUCUGAGAAUAAAAUGAUUUAACAGUUACUGAAUCACUUUUUAUACCAUCAAUGUUUGUCAAAACAUUUUGAAAACAAAAGCUAUUGGUAUGAUUUUCACUUGUUUGAUAACUAAAACAAACAGUAAAGGGGCACUAUGCAGUUUAAGAGAAGAAAUUCAAAGUCAGAUUUAUUUACUAUUUAUAAUAUUAAUUAAGUCAUAGUACAGACUUUUUCCAUAAGUGAAUAAACAAGCUGUUGUCAGUGGAAAAUAAGGCCCCAGAACAAUGUUUGAAGUUAGAAGGGUGGCAGGGUCCGCCACAUCUAAACAAACAGUAUCUUUGAUAUAAAUUGUGGUGUCCUUUCAGGUCAGUUUGUUUGUUCAGUUUAUUCAGUCAUGAACACUAAGAGGGAUUCAGAAAGAAUCAGCCAAUAAAGAUCUUUCCCUUCUCAUUAACAUUUCUGCUCAAAACUACAGAGUGCUAAUUUAAAAAAUGUCCCCUUGUGUUUAAGAUGAACAUAUCAAUAUUGAUAUGAAAACUUUGUGUUAAUUUAUAAGGAGAUUAUAAUGCAGAGGAAUAUUAGUUAAUAUUAAAUCCCCUGUAAAGUUAUCACUUUCAAUCGAAACAGUAUUGUCACAAAAGUAGGAUAUUGAACUGGCUCUAUAAAAUACUUGCAGUGUGUAAGUGUCUAUUCUUCUUUUUUUUCCCAUCAACAUGUGAAGUUUUUCCUCACUCGAAUCGAGGGUCUAAGGACAGAGGAUGUUGUUCACUGUACAGAUUGUAAAGCCCAUUGAGGCAAUGUGAUUGUGAUUUUGGGCUAUAUAAAUAAAAUGGAUUUGAUUUGAUUUGAUAUUCUUAUUACGGAAUGUGAACUCCCCUCAGGUUGCUAAAGACAUUGUUUUAAAAUACAGGGGAAAAAAAAAAACACUUACACAAGGUAGAUACAGCCCUGCAACACUUUUGCAGACACUUUUGACUUUUUAGCUCCAUGUGUAAUUCUUUUUUCAAAUAAAAUAUUGACUGAAUUAGAAAUACUUUAUGAAAGCACUGAUAAUAGUAUGUUUCUUAUUGUACACACACACACAUACACACACACACAUACAUACACACUCACACCAUGUGACUUCAUUUUUCUAAUUUGUUUAUAUGUUGCCAAUGUCAUAUACAGCACAUGUAAUCUGUAGAAUAUUCAUAUGUUUGUGAUGUGUGGUUAAAGGUUUAUGUUGACCAUCUCUGGUAAAGGCAUCAAUGUAAACAUUAACACAAACUAGUACAAGCAGCGCUAAUUGUCAUGCUAGCACUUCUACAGCUGUUGUGGUAAUACCAGUGGUAAAUAAUAGUCAUAUUAGUCACAGUAGCUCUCACAUUAGAUGCACCAGUGGUAAAAUCUGACUCCAGACACAUUCAUAUCAUAUUCAUGCCAACAGGCGUCACAACUCGGCUGAAUUGUUGUUUUGCAUUUAUAGUUGAUUUUCCAGCUCACUCCAGUCUGUCUGUGGGAAACAUCUUAGUGGUUCUACUGCUGUAAUAUUUCCUGUGAGAGCUUUCUAACAUCUAUUUCUGAAUUUAACGAGUUCCACUUCCUGUUCACUUGAGUUGAAAACGCAAGCGAUGCAGAUGGAGCAGGGGCAUUUCCUUUAGAUGAGGAGAGGCAAAGAUCAAAGACAAACUUAUCGUGUUGUCUUUUGAUUAUAACUUUGUUAACGGACCAAACCGCUCAAAGUAUGAUGUGCUGCAUUUUUACCCAAUGAUUUGUUAAGAACACAGUUGUUUUUACAUCUCGUUUUGAUUCAACUUUCCUGUUCAUAAAUCUUUAGAAUAUUACAGAUGUAGCAGUAACAGCAUAAUGACUGUAGUAGUAGUAUAAGGUGAUAGUAUUGACAAUAAUCUCAAAAACUGCUUGACUGCAUCUACAAGGUCUGCAUUUGAGUCAUAACACUUACACACACUCUGUAUUAUCAGAUUCAGAUGACUUGCCUCUGUAUUUCUAUAUAUAGACACCACAUCAACUAUUAUCUUCAAGACGGAGGCUUAAGUGUAGUCAGCUCUAAAGGAUCACCUUUGACAUAAUAUCUAAUCCUUUUUAAAAUUAAGAUUAGAUGAGAUGCUAGGAUACUGCAUGUGUAAGGUUAUGAAAUCUCAGCAUGUUAAGACAGGAAAGUGAGUCAGCGACAGAUCCAUGUCCGUCAACCUGACCAUCACCCUGUUUCAUUGCAGGCUAAAUGCAACACUCGGAGCAGUUAUGUUGCAUGAGAAGCGACCCACGGGGCUUCUAUGUGAAGCUUUGAUCAGGAACAUAUGGCUGAACUUCCUCUGCUGCUGCAAUGGCCAGCUGCUGUCUGUUAGGAGAGGAGAAGAGAGGAGGAAAAGAAAGACACUGGAAUAAAGGAAUGCAAUGCUGACUGUAACUCUGCAGAGAGAAAAUAGAGCCAAUAAAAAGAGUAGAGUGGGACAGGCAGGAGGAAACAGAAGUAAACAAGUAGAGUAAAUGGAAGAAGAGAAUAAAUAAGGAAGGAGUAGGGACAGCCUCAGGUCUGCAGGCGCCAUGUUGAGACAGCAGCAUUUCUGCAGCGCCACACUGUCUCCUGCCUCAUCGCUGUCCCUUCUGCCUCUCUGUCCAUCUGCAAGCCUCUUUCCGUUUCCCAUCUGUCUCCCUCUCCCACCUUUACUUUUUACCACGGGGGUAAUUGACCAACUCGUUUAUUGGUGGCUAGAGGACGUGGAGGAGGCAGUUGUACUAGUGGUAUAUAUUACUGUAUAGUGUGGUUUUACGGCUGCCUUAUUGCCCCUUAUUGCCUGUUGAUAGUCAACAAAAGACACUCCAAAGAACGGUUUGUGCCUCCUGGAAAGUCUGCCUUCUUUAUUGUCCUUCCUGUCUGUCUCAUUGCCUUUAAUGGUCAGCUUUGUCUCUUGCAUCCACAUUGCUGAGACUAAACAGAUACAACUUCUUCUCUCUUUUUCACAGAGGGGCUCAUCAAUGAAACUAUGCCCUGAAAUUAAAUAAAAUUCUUCUUUUUUAAUUGACCUCAGGUGUCACUGCUUCUUCACAGAGUUCAUCAUGUAUCAUCAUUUUGCUGCUUCACAUGAAGCAACAGGAAGAGAGCGAGAGGUUUUCCAAACUCCUUUUUGCAUCAGGGUCACACAGUUGGAUAUUCAUUAAGCCAAGCAGGAGCCUGGUGCUGAAGGGAUUUUACUUGUUAGAUAUGAUUUACUGCAGCAGCCUGACCUCCUGCUGCUGGAUUCAGUCAAAUGCUCUCUAAUCAUUUGAUUACAACCAGAGGACGGCAAUACCCGUCUUGCAACAGUCAAAAACCUAUUGUUCUUGUGUUACAGUUAAACUAUACUUCAAUAAAAACAGCAUUUGCAUUUGUCAAACUUAAAGAUGACUCUUAGCAUUUAUGAUUCUGUGCCAUAAAUGUGAACAAGUUUGGGGGGAUAACAGAGAAUUAGGUGGUAAACACCAAAUUUAUAGAACUACAAAUAUGUGCUAAUGUAUCUGUAAAGUCAUAAACAUGAGACAAAAUAAAAGUAAAC